CCAAUAGCGUAUAUUAAAGUUGUUGCAGUUAAAAAGCUCGUAGUUGAAUUUUAGGCUUGGCCGGGCGGUCCGUCUUUGGCGAGUACUGUCCUGUGUCGGGUCUUCCUUCUGGUGAACCAGUAUGUCCUUUAUUGGGUGUGCCGGGGAGCCAGGACCAUUACCUUGAAAAAAUUAGAGUGUUGAAAGCGGGCUAUUGCUUGAAUAGAUUAGCAUGGAAUAAUAGAAUAGGACGUUGUGGUUCUAUUUUGUUGGUUUCUAGGACCACCGUAAUGAUUAAUAGGGAUAGUUGGGGGCAUUAGUAUUCAAUUGUCAGAGGUGAAAUUCUUGGAUUUAUUGAAGACUAACUACUGCGAAAGCAUUUGCCAAGGAUGUUUUCAUUAAUCAAGAACGAAAGUUAGGGGAUCGAAGACGAUCAGAUACCGUCGUAGUCUUAACCAUAAACUAUGCCGACUAGGAAUCGGGCGACGUUAUUUUAAUGACUCGCUCGGCGCCUUAUG
Molecule: ribosomal RNA, 497 nt
Filed under: uncultured Glomeromycotina
Lineage: Eukaryota; Fungi; Glomeromycota
Description: partial small subunit ribosomal RNA
Rfam family: Eukaryotic small subunit ribosomal RNA
Source: RNAcentral